Molecule: ribosomal RNA, 301 nt
Filed under: uncultured bacterium
Lineage: Bacteria
Description: partial 16S ribosomal RNA
Rfam family: Bacterial small subunit ribosomal RNA
Source: RNAcentral
CAGUAGCCGCGGUAAUGCGUAGGUGGCAAGCGUUGUCCGGAAUUAUUGGGCGUAAAGGGUACGUAGGCGGCCUUUUAAGCGUAGGGUAUAAGGCAAUGGCUCAACCAUUGUUCGCCCUAUGAACUGGAAGGCUUGAGUGCAGGAGAGGAAAGCGGAAUUCCUAGUGCAGCGGUGGAAUGCAUAGAUAUUAGGAGGAACAUCAGCGGCGAAGGCGGCUUUCUGGACUGCAACUGACACUGAGGUACGAAAGCGUGGGGAGCAAACAGGAUUAGAUACCCCUGUAGUCCCUGUCUCUUAUACA